This is a long non-coding RNA of Physella acuta, 613 nucleotides long. RefSeq lists it as uncharacterized. The record is from RefSeq and is a predicted model, not a curated record. NCBI's taxonomy places the organism in Eukaryota, Metazoa, Mollusca, Gastropoda, Physidae.
UUGGGGGUAUUUCUUUUACAUGAACUGUGAAAUACGGUAUCUCAAAUUUUGCGCGUAACUCAAAGCGAAAUAUUACUCGCUCAACUGCUCGUAUUUAAAAAAUCUGGUAUGUCGAGGCACUAGAAUGUUGAGGUUCAUCCAAAAAAAAGGGAAGAUCUGAUUUUUACCAGUAAUAAGACUACAGCAUACUAAAUGACACAAGAUGUUCUUUCUCUAUUACCUCUUACAUUUGACAUAAAAGUAGGAAAAGGUUUAACAGUCUAUGCCUACAACAUAGAUCUCCAGGACUAAAAGUACACAAAAUGGCAAUCAGUAUAUCACAAGUGUAAUAACACAUGCAUCUAAUCUGCUUCAGUGGCGAGAACUGGGUGAAUCCUCUCAAACAUUAAUCAGGAACUAGGCAUACCUAAUGAGCGUCAAGCUGAUACAGUAGAUGUACAGAAGAGUUUAUACACAAGGAAGUGAAAAGUGAUGUAAAAGGCAACUAAUACUUCCAUCUACCAUAGUUAAACAAGAAUCUGCAAAUGGCGAUAAUUGCAAUAAUCCUGAUAUAUUCAUUUUUGGCUUUAUAAUUAUAUGCAAUUGUUUCAUAAAUAAAUUAUUUCUCAAAAUU